RNAcentral lists this ribosomal RNA (174 nucleotides) under uncultured bacterium. RNAcentral's name for it is "partial 16S ribosomal RNA". It matches the Rfam family "Bacterial small subunit ribosomal RNA", at positions 1325 to 1500 of the family's 1533-position model. The record is from RNAcentral.
GCUGGAAUUGCUAGUAAUGGCAGGUCAGCAUACUGCCGUGAAUACGUUCCCGGGCCUUGUACACACCGCCCGUCACAUCAUGAGAGUUGGGAAUACCCGAAGCCUGUGAGCUAACAUAUGAGGCAGCAGUCGAAGGUAGAAUCAAUGAUUGGGGUGAAGUCGUAACAAGGUAAC